AUCAUUGCAAAAUUUGGUCGCCAUUUUGUAUGGUUCCAAAGAUUUCAUAGAUUUUUCUUUGUAGAAUUCUUCAGAUCCUUAUAUAUAAUUCUCCAAUAACCAUCGUCUUGGCCGUAUCUCCCAUGGGUAUUAUAUAUGUAGCUCCUUUGAACGUCUUCGAAUGCCAACCUGAUGCAUCCAUACCCGAUAGGCGUCUUUGUUCUCGUUCGCAAUGGAAGGCUUUUUCUUAUCGACGGUCUUACUGGCGUUUUAAAAAAUGAAUACGAUAGGUUGCUGUAACAUCUUGUGCAUGUACGAUAGGCUAUAAACCGCAAUAACAAAAGAAACUAUCUUACAAGGUGCAAUAUGCUUGGACGUAAACACAAGGGAGUUGAAUGUAUAAGAUGAAUCAAGAUAAAGAUGAUUCUGGAUUGGCUGAAGUAUGUAGGUCCCCUCAUAAUCAAAUAUGAAAGCAUAAGGUUUUGAAUUGUCAUUAUGAAUGACUUCACUUUCAUCAAUAUUUAAUCCAUUAAUGUGUUUACAAUGAGCAAUUAUUGAUGAGGUGGAGCAUGAUAUUGUAAAUUAUCAAAACCGAGACUGUGUUAUAUGCCAUAGCCAAAGGCUGCAUGCAUGCAUCAUCAUCAUCAUCAUCUUUGAGGGUCUUCAAGUUCCAGUGUAUUCACUGACUUGUCAAGACUGUUUUAAAGACUGUACUAAUUUUUUUGUCUUUCCACUUGUUUGUUUCUUUUUUAUUUCAUUUCUGAGGUUAAGAUAUUUAACAAUUACUCACUGAAGGCAAAGUGACUAUCAGUGGAGUAUUUACAGUGGAGCAAAAUAUUCACCAUAAUCACUGUGAUCCUGAGACUUGAAUAGGAGAAAAAAAUUGAAAUUCAGGAUAAAAAUAUGUUUUAGUAUUGCUUCCAAUCUGGCAAACUUUGGAAAACUUUAUAAUGACUGCUGGUGCAGUGAUACCAUCUCAGAAUCAGUGUUUGCUUGACCAUGAUCACAACAAGAAACUCUGUUGUGCAUAAUGCAUGUACUAGAUAAUAAGACUAAGUAAGUAAGACAAUGAACUUGAGUGUGUUAUGGGAUAUAGCUAGAGUCCCUAACAUUAGAUAGAAAACCACAUGGGCUCCACCCUUGCGGCUUUCUAUCUAAUGUGAGGGACUCUAUAUCUCAUAAAACACUCAAGUUCAUAACUAUCUUAGAGAUAUAUGAUCACACUUUUUGUUUGUUCCUCUCCCAAAAAAUAUAAAUCUAAUAAGCUUUGGAAUAAAAGUAAAGAUAUGAUAUAAAAUGAGAAUAACAAUGGCAGUUUUAACAUCAUGAUGAUGAUAAUAAUAAUAAUAAUAAUAAUAAUAAUAAUGUACUUUUAUAGUGCACUUCAAAUAUCUCAAUGUGCUUUACAUUCAUAAGUGGAGGACUUUACAGGCUGCGUAUUAAGGUGCCAUGUCAGCUGUGCAGCUUACAAUCAUCAGUGUGAACUGUUAGUAGAUUAGUAUUAUGCCUCCAAAUUGGGAUAGGCUGUUGAGCCAGAAGACAAUCCCCCACUCUUACACCAAUAAUUCAACAGGUUCUUUUAUGUCCCCCAUGAACAUGACUAAAGAGAUGCAAGGGCUAAUUAAGGUUUCUGUCAAUAAAAUUUCAGGAAAKAACAAAAUUAUUUUAAGUUAACACUUUUUAACAAUAUAUGAUACAAAGUCUGAUAAAAUUUUUAUAUAGCUGCAA
Actinia tenebrosa (Australian red waratah sea anemone) is the source of this 1707-nucleotide long non-coding RNA. The record is from RefSeq and is a predicted model, not a curated record. Lineage: Eukaryota; Metazoa; Cnidaria; Anthozoa; Actiniaria; Actiniidae.